AUUGAACGCUGGCGGCAUGCCUUACACAUGCAAGUCGAACGGCAGCACGGGAGCAAUCCUGGUGGCGAGUGGCGAACGGGUGAGUAAUAUAUCGGAACGUGCCCAGUCGUGGGGAUAACGUAGCGAAAGCUACGCUAAUACCGCAUACGAUCUAUGGAUGAAAGCGAGGGAUCGCAAGACCUCGCGCGAUUGGAGCGGCCGAUAUCAGAUUAGGUAGUUGGUGAGGUAAAGGCUCACCAAGCCGACGAUCUGUAGCUGGUCUGAGAGGACGACCAGCCACACUGGGACUGAGACACGGCCCAGACUCCUACGGAGGCAGCAGUGGGGAAUUUUGGGACAAUGGGCGCAAGCCUGAUCCAGCAAUGACCGCGUGCAGGAUGAAGGCCUCGGUU
Molecule: ribosomal RNA, 392 nt
Filed under: uncultured bacterium
Lineage: Bacteria
Description: bacterial SSU rRNA
Rfam family: Bacterial small subunit ribosomal RNA
Source: RNAcentral